UUAAUGAAGCAUACUCAGGAAG
Molecule: transfer RNA, 22 nt
Filed under: Pristimantis cf. briceni CVULA 8352
Lineage: Eukaryota; Metazoa; Chordata; Amphibia; Anura; Strabomantidae
Also listed under: 1 other name
Description: partial tRNA-Leu
Source: RNAcentral